CAAUUAGCUUAAUGUCGAUGUAGAUGUAAAUUACUUUACAAUCAAAUCAAAACAAAAGCCGAGACACAAAGCCCAGACAAAAACCAAACGAGCCGUCCGUCUCCGUCAUUAUUCUUUUGUAUAAACCCUGCCGGUCGUUUUCGUUGAACGUAUGCUGACGGGUCGUUACGUUGCUGGUGUAUGUGAAUGUUUUCAUGAGAAUUGCAUGGUAGAAUCAUUGACGUAUCGUGACGUGACGGGACGUGAACGUGACGUGUAUGUUGUAUGUGAAUCGCACUUAAAACUGCAACGGCCGUACGUUUUUUUCUCUCAGCGUUUGGAUCGAUUAAUCGACGUAAAUUAUUCGUUCGCUUCGAUUAUUGGUUGUGCAGUAUUCGUUCGAUUAAUAAUCGAUUUCUGUAGGAAGUAUUCGAUUAAUCGAUUAAUCGAACGAUUAUCGGGGAUCACUAUUCAUGAGCCGGUGAUUUUAUUGUAUUUUGAAUACAAUUUGGUUGCAGAAAAAAUAGUUACAAUGAAAGUGUUUUGUUGUUUUCUUAUAAUAAGAUUACUUUCUGCAUUUUUUCUACACAUAACUGAUUGUGAUGAAACUUAUAAUUAUUGGGAGCCGCUACAUUAUUUGACCCAAGGGAAAGGACUUCAAACAUGGGAGUAUAGUCCAGAGUAUGGGUUGCGGUCAUAUUUCUAUUUAUUAUUACAUGCGGUUCCAUCGUUCUUACUGAAAACAAUUCUCGAUGUUGAUGCAAUUAUUGCUUUUUAUGCUACACGCUGUAUGUUAGCAGUAAUAUGCUCCGUAAUGGAAACAAUUCUUUUCAAAGUUAUUAGUCAAUGUUUUGGAAACAAAAUUGCCAGUUGGUGGUUGACUUUUCAACUAAUAAGCCCGGGUUUAUUCAUAUCUGGUACAGCGUUACUCCCAAGCUCGUUUUCGAUGUAUUUGACAAUGGCUUUACAUUCGGCAUGGUGGAGUAAAAAAAUAAAACUUCCCAUUUUCCUUACAGUUGUUUCGACUUUUGUAGCUUACAUGGUUUCGGGACCAAGGGUAGAGAUUAAGGACAAUGAAAAACAUGAAUCAGGUAUAAAGCAUACUUAAAGCUACUUUUACAGUUUCACAGUUUAUAACGAGUUUUAAGUUUUCUUUCCAUUGCUUUAGAACUUGUCUCUGAAAAAAACCAUAGUGAAUUUUCGAAUCUGUUUUGGAAAUUACCCAUGUAUAAAGUUCUUUUGCAUUUGUAAUGUGAUGACCCUGUAAACUUGCUUUAGCAGCAUUCCGCUUCAAAACUCCUCCUAAAGCGUCACAUGGACCUUUCCCAUAGCAUCUGGCGAAAAAGUUCCACUCCGCAUCUAUACCAAACUCUUUUUUCAUUUGGCACAAAUUAAAGGCUGUCAUCUCAUUUUUGUAGUGACUACCUGAUCCAUCUGAGAAAAAGUUAACUUUCUUAAGGUCAGGCAACUUCCUUUUGAUAAAAUUAACACAAUCUACAAUGAAUAAACGAACUGCAACGUGGUUAUGCUUGGAAGACUCCGCGUUUGCAGUGAAACUGGUAAACUUUGAAUCUGAAGUAUGAUCAUCCUUAUAAUAAAUAGCAAAUGUGUGAAUAGUGAAACUCUAUCUUAAUUGCAGGAUAUUGUUCUUUGAAAAUGGCGUAAGCUUCUUGUAAAUUACAUUACACGUUGUAUAUAUACCUUGCCAUCAACAUUUUUUGAAAUAACAUAGUCUCGUUUUCAUGGACACGCUCGACUUAUUUCGUAACUGGUAUAGAAAUCACGCACGAGCGAUAGAGUUUCUUCUGCCAAAGACGCACUGCUUAGCCUUUUAGUCGGUGUUGUCAUUAUGCCCUUGUCCCCCUGUAGUAUUUUAGCCCAUUCUGCCAUAUGUUGAGAAACAUCGAAUUCCUUCUUUAUUUUAUAGGCUGUUCAGCUUUUAGGCAAAGUAGUGAGAAUACGAUACUUCUCAUUAUUGUCAUGAGUUUUUCGAAACUUUUCCUUGAGUUGCUGAAUUAUUUCAUCCUCGCUUGUAGAAGGUACGCUGGUAAUAAUCCUGAUUGAUUCCAAACUGGGUGUUUCUAGCGACGGUAAUGACACUGAAAUUUAAUAAAAAAUAUAUAUUUAGCAACCUGGCGAACAAUUAACUUAUUAGACUCGUUAUUAGAAUUUUUACUAAUACACUCAAGUCAGUUUAUUGAAACCUAAAGCUUACCUUGGCUGUCGACAGCAGGAACUUCGGAUGGAUCAGCGAUGGGCUCUUCGGCCACAUAAGGAGGAAAGAUUUUUAUUUCCAGUGUACCCUUUACUGACUUUGUGUGGAGCCGUAUCCAUUUGUACGACAGGAACAAUCGCG
RNA transcript from Toxorhynchites rutilus septentrionalis, 2335 nucleotides. It is a transcript of the gene named alpha-1,2-mannosyltransferase ALG9, with no coding region annotated. The record is from RefSeq and is a predicted model, not a curated record. The transcript is spliced from 8 exons. NCBI's taxonomy places the organism in Eukaryota, Metazoa, Arthropoda, Insecta, Diptera, Culicidae.